Molecule: ribosomal RNA, 471 nt
Filed under: uncultured bacterium
Lineage: Bacteria
Description: partial 16S ribosomal RNA
Rfam family: Bacterial small subunit ribosomal RNA
Source: RNAcentral
UAGGGAAUCUUCCACAAUGGACGCAAGUCUGAUGGAGCAACGCCGCGUGAGUGAAGAAGGUUUUCGGACCGUAAAGCUCUGUUGUUGGUGAAGAAGGAUAGAGGUAGUAACUGGCCUUUAUUUGACGGUAAUCAACCAGAAAGUCACGGCUAACUACGUGCCAGCAGCCGCGGUAAUACGUAGGUGGCAAGCGUUGUCCGGAUUUAUUGGGCGUAAAGCGAGCGCAGGCGGAAGAAUAAGUCUGAUGUGAAAGCCCUCGGCUUAACCGAGGAAUUGCAUCGGAAACUGUUUUCUUGAGUGCAGAAGAGGAGAGUAGAACUCCAUGUGUAGCGGUGGAAUGCGUAGAUAUAUGGAAGAAUACCAGUGGCGAAGGCGGCUCUCUGGUCUGCAACUGACGCUGAGGCUCGAAAGCAUGGGUAGCGAACAGGAUUAGAUACCCUGGUAGUCCAUGCCGUAAACGAUGAGUGCUAA